CCUACGGGAGGCAGCAGUGAGGAAUAUUGGACAAUGGGCGCAAGCCUGAUCCAGCCAUGCCGCGUGCAGGAAGACGGUCCUAUGGAUUGUAAACUGCUUUUGUACAGGAAGAAACACUCCCUCGUGAGGGAGCUUGACGGUACUGUAAGAAUAAGGAUCGGCUAACUCCGUGCCAGCAGCCGCGGUAAUACGGAGGAUCCAAGCGUUAUCCGGAAUCAUUGGGUUUAAAGGGUCCGUAGGCGGUUUAAUAAGUCAGUGGUGAAAUCUGGUCGCUCAACGAUCAAACGGCCAUUGAUACUGUUAGACUUGAAUUAUUAGGAAGUAACUAGAAUAUGUAGUGUAGCGGUGAAAUGCUUAGAUAUUACAUGGAAUACCAAUUGCGAAGGCAGGUUACUACUAAUGGAUUGACGCUGAUGGACGAAAGCGUGGGGAGCGAACAGGAUUAGAUACCCUGGUAGUCCACGCCGUAAACGAUGGAUACUAGCUGUUCGGAGCAAUCUGAGUGGCUAAGCGAAAGUGAUAAGUAUCCCACCUGGGGAGUACGUUCGCAAGAAUGAAAACUCAAAGGAAUUGACGGCUGAGAGAGCGAGACGACGACGAGGGAGGAGG
This 609-nucleotide ribosomal RNA is filed under the name uncultured bacterium. RNAcentral describes it as "bacterial SSU rRNA". It matches the Rfam family "Bacterial small subunit ribosomal RNA", at positions 338 to 948 of the family's 1533-position model. The record is from RNAcentral.